Physeter macrocephalus (sperm whale) is the source of this 1669-nucleotide long non-coding RNA. RefSeq lists it as uncharacterized. The record is from RefSeq and is a predicted model, not a curated record. The transcript is spliced from 7 exons. NCBI's taxonomy places the organism in Eukaryota, Metazoa, Chordata, Mammalia, Artiodactyla, Physeteridae.
AAGGGCCCCGAGAAGGGCAGGCAUUGCCCACCAGCCGCAGACGUGGGUCGGGAGCUGGGUGCAAGGCCUCCAUCCCAGGGCUUCAGGUUCACAUGCAGGCUCCCCUGAGGCCGGCAGGUGACACCUGGACUUGUGUGGGCUGGAGCGCUGUGUCUCUUCCCUCCCUCCAUCCCCCCCUCCCCUCCUCUCCUCUGGCAGGACGGUUCAAAGUUUGGGGAGCUGGAGCUGGAAAGGAAUGUCCAAGAAGGGACAGAGAAGGAGGACGGGUGUUCUAGAAGCUUCUUUCCUGCUCGGAGAGCCCUGGUCCUGCCCAGAAUAAGCUCUGAUUCUCAGCAGGGUGAGCACAGGGGCCGUCGGUGCCGAGGAGACACGCAGUCAGGCAGGUGCCAUGAUUCGAGGAGCCCAGAGGAACGCCCCGCACCCCACUCCUGUGUGGAGCAGGACGCUGACCCCCAUUGUAUCUAGAACUGCUGAGGCAGAGGGUGACCCCCCUGUGCCCACUCGCAGCCACACCAGAAGGACGGGAACGCCUUUCUCGGGGACUGCCCAAGGCCACCUCGGCUGCGCUGUAGUUCAGGUAAUACACCAGUGAACGUAAGCAGUGUUUGCCUGAGUUCUGUGAGCAAAUCACUGAACCCAAGAAAGGGCUUGUGGGGACCCAAGUCAGAAGCGUGAGAGACCUGGGCUGGUGUGUGGAGCUGGGCAUCGUGGCACCAAGCCCUCAACUGCGGGAUGCGAUGCUAACUCCGUGUGGAUGGUAGCACACCCAGCCGGUGUCGGAGGAUUGGUUGCCGUGCGGAAAAACCCACACGCUUGGUGUCAGAAGUGUUUUUCAUCCUCCUGACGGCCAGUCUCUGCACAGCAGCCAGAGGAUGCACAAAGCAGAUCGGAUGCAGUCACGCCGAAUCUCAGAGACCUAGGAUGGUUCCCUCCCGACCUCCAGCAGAAUCAAGUCCCAACCUCUGCUUUACAGAAACGUAAGCUCAGGCAUGUGGGAUCUUAGCUCCCUGACCAGGGAUCGAACUGGUACCCCUGCAUUGGAAGGCGAAGUCUUAACCACUGGACUGCCAGGGAAUCCCUGAAGCACUGCAGGAAAGCAGGGCAGAUUCCUACUUCAUCUCUGCUGAAACUGGCCCCCAGCCUGCUCCCUUGUCCCUCCAGGAAGCCCCAGUUCAAGAAGGUGGUCCAGCCCUUCUCCCUAAACCCUCACUGAUAGAUCCUGCCCCCUAAACGAGGGUCAUCACUGCCCUUCUCCUACUGGUCCGCAAAGUGAUCACAGCCACGUCCCUCGUUUGAGGCUCAAACUGAAACCGUGGAUAAUGAGUCAAUCCAUUGCACCUGCCCUCACUAAUCAAGAUCAUUUUAAGACUUCAUGUCCUCCAAGCGGCAGGGAGCCUAAACAGUAAGCUGUUUGCCCGAGCUGUUUUCCAGCAGCUUGGAAGCUCAGCUGCCUCGAGCUUAGGCUGGGCCGGUUGAGACUGGAUAAGAGCACUGACCCGCAACUGGGCCUGCCCAAGCACCGGAGACCUGGUGACCUUGGGGAGGCCUGGCGCCUAGUUACGCCUGCGCAGAAGGACCAUUACGCACCUUUUCCUCAUCCCUUUCCCUGCGCCCUCCCCGCCCUGCCCACGCACCCCACGUGCCUCAAGCCCACCCCUAGCCUCAGCCC